This 76-nucleotide transfer RNA is filed under the name Chloroflexota bacterium. Its description in RNAcentral is "Chloroflexi bacterium tRNA-Trp". It matches the Rfam family "tRNA". From Rfam's summary of the family: Transfer RNA (tRNA) molecules are approximately 80 nucleotides in length. Their secondary structure includes four short double-helical elements and three loops (D, anti-codon, and T loops). Lineage: Bacteria; Bacillati; Chloroflexota. RNAcentral also lists the same sequence under 4 other names. The record is from RNAcentral.
AGGGGUGUAGCUCAAUUGGUAGAGCACUGGUCUCCAAAACCAGCGGUUGCAGGUUCAAGUCCUGUCGCCCCUGCCA